CCGGAGAUGCUGAAAUCAAGAAGGCCUUCCCAGAGGAGGUGCUGAAGACCCAAAGGCUUGCUAGCACACAGCCAGGGACAGCCUGGGGGAGGCUGAAGACACAGAAUGACAGCCAGCCCUGUGAUCCUUCUUGGCGAUCAGCAUGGGGACAUCUGGAUGUCUGCCUGGGACCACGUGACCCUCUAGGGUAACGACUGCUGUCUGCUAAGCCCCUGAGGCUCGGGGUACCUCGCAGCAUCCAGAGAGGAUUCCCGAGGCCUCUGUGACCUGGAGCUGCUCUGAUUCUCAACGAAUAUGAGCUUGGCCCUCGCUGCCCACCUGCCGAUUCCUGGGACACCAUCCGUGGUUGCCCCCUGGCCCCAGGGCCAUCUUCUGGGGGCUCUGGGUGAGAGAGGGAAGAGAGGGCUCCCAUCGGUACAAACUGGGGCUCCCUUGUCUGCCAGAGUGGACCCCCUGUGCUGCGGAGCCCUAGGCCACAGAGUGGGUGGGACGGGGCUCUAUGAGUGAGCAGCCAGCAACAUGGGCGCUAAGCAACUCCCCUGGGGUAUCAUGUACAUGUUUAAAGCUGGAAGCCGUCAGCCUCCCACAUUCCUGUCUCCUGCCCUAAUUCCUCUUACUGGCUGUAUCUUCCAUUAUACAACUUAUUCUAUCGUCUGUCUCCCCCACUGGAAUGUAGGCCCCAAGAAGGCCAAGAUGUUUGUCUGUUUUGUUCCCUGAUGCGUCCCUUAGCGCUUCUAACAGUGCCUGGCACAUAGUAGUUGCUCAGCGAAAAUCAGUCGACUGAGUGAAUUCUCUCUUCCAGGAGAUGCAAUAAUAACUCACACGUUUACUGAG
This is a long non-coding RNA of Suricata suricatta (meerkat), 834 nucleotides long. RefSeq lists it as uncharacterized. Lineage: Eukaryota; Metazoa; Chordata; Mammalia; Carnivora; Herpestidae. The record is from RefSeq and is a predicted model, not a curated record. The transcript has 3 exons.